ACCGCCCGUCGUUUCAUCGAUGUUGGCCUUUAGUGAGGUAGUGUCGUCAUUGGCAUUAUCGAGCUUGAGGUCAGUGACGGAGGGAA
Molecule: ribosomal RNA, 86 nt
Filed under: uncultured bacterium
Lineage: Bacteria
Description: partial 16S ribosomal RNA
Source: RNAcentral